GUUCAAACGGGAUAUUGGUCCGGUUCAAUAAGAAAGUAAGGCUCAAAAUGUUGUGCCUUUCUUUUUGAUUGAGCCGUGCCAAUAUCACGUCAUCUCCG
Molecule: microRNA precursor, 98 nt
Organism: Medicago truncatula (barrel medic)
Lineage: Eukaryota; Viridiplantae; Streptophyta; Magnoliopsida; Fabales; Fabaceae
Source: Rfam